RNAcentral lists this ribosomal RNA (514 nucleotides) under uncultured bacterium. Its description in RNAcentral is "bacterial SSU rRNA". It matches the Rfam family "Bacterial small subunit ribosomal RNA", at positions 32 to 518 of the family's 1533-position model. The record is from RNAcentral.
AACGCUGGCGGCGUGCCUAAUACAUGCAGGUCGAACGGUCUUUCUAUGGAAGCUUGCUUCCACUGAGAAGAUAGUGGCGGACGGGUGAGUAACACGUGGGUAACCUGCCCAUAAGAGGGGGGAUAACAUCCGGAAACGGGUGCUAAUACCGCAUAGUUUUCUUAAUCGCAUGAUUGAGAAAGGAAAGACGGCCUUUGUGCUGUCGCUUAUGGAUGGACCCGCGGCGUAUUAGUUAGUUGGUGAGGUAACGGCUCACCAAGACGAUGAUACGUAGCCGACCUGAGAGGGUGAUCGGCCACAUUGGGACUGAGACACGGCCCAAACUCCUACGGGAGGCAGCAGUAGGGAAUCUUCCGCAAUGGACGAAAGUCUGACGGAGCAACGCCGCGUGAGUGAAAGAAGGUUUUCGGAUCGUAAAACUCUGUUGUCAGAGAAGAACAAGUCGGAGAGUAACUGCUCCGGCCUUGACGGUAUCUGACCAGAAAGCCACGGCUAACUACGUGCCAGCCGCCGC